CAAGCCAAAAUAUCCUUAAAAAUAAAAUUUAUUACCUUCGGUGCACUGUGGACUGACAGCUCGGUCCGCAGAACAAAGGAAGCAGUCCACAGGAAUAGUUCACGAUCUACAGGUGCGGUCUAUGGGCCAGGAAGAAAAAAAUAUGCUGAUCGACGGUCCAGAUUUCAUCUAGAGCUCGAUCCAACGGCUGUGGUGGUUCCCGACUGUGUUAAGGAGAAUAAAGGCACAAUCCAAUGGCCAGAAUUCAAUCU
This 251-nucleotide long non-coding RNA is filed under the name Elaeis guineensis (African oil palm). Its description in RNAcentral is "long non-coding RNA (EGUI_LNC025958)". The record is from RNAcentral. Lineage: Eukaryota; Viridiplantae; Streptophyta; Magnoliopsida; Arecales; Arecaceae.